CCUACGGGAGGCAGCAGUGAGGAAUAUUGGGCAAUGGCCGUAAGGCUGAACCAGCCAAGUCGCGUGAAGGAAGAAGGAGCGAUGGGUUGUAAACUGCAGUUAUAGGGGAAUAAAGGAAGCCACGUGUGGAUAUUUGCAUGGACACUAUGAAUAAGCAUCGGCUAACUCCGUGCCAGGAGACGCGGUAAUACGGAGGAUUCGAGCGUUAGCCGGAUUUCUUGGGGUUAAAGGGUGCGUAGGGUGUUUUUUAAGUCAGCGGUGAAGGUUUGUGGCGCACCCCUAAAAUUGCCGUUGAAACUGUCAGCCUUGAGUGUGUUUGAGGUAGGCGGAAUUCGUGUUGUAGCGGU
RNAcentral lists this ribosomal RNA (347 nucleotides) under uncultured bacterium. Its description in RNAcentral is "partial 16S ribosomal RNA". It matches the Rfam family "Bacterial small subunit ribosomal RNA", at positions 338 to 682 of the family's 1533-position model. The record is from RNAcentral.